UGGGCUGUGGCUCAGUGGUAGAGCGCUUGCCUGGCAUGUGAGAGGCACUGGGUUCAAUUCUCAGCACCACAU
Molecule: non-coding RNA, 72 nt
Organism: Ictidomys tridecemlineatus (thirteen-lined ground squirrel)
Lineage: Eukaryota; Metazoa; Chordata; Mammalia; Rodentia; Sciuridae
Source: Rfam